UAGGGAAUCUUCGGCAAUGGGGGGAACCCUGACCGAGCAACGCCGCGUGAGUGAAGAAGGUUUUCGGAUCGUAAAGCUCUGUUGUUAGAGAAGAACAGCGCAUAGAGUAACUGUUAUGCGUGUGACGGUAUCUAACCAGAAAGCCACGGCUAACUACGUGCCAGCAGCCGCGGUAAUACGUAGGUGGCAAGCGUUGUCCGGAUUUAUUGGGCGUAAAGCGAGCGCAGGCGGUCAAUUAAGUCUGAUGUGAAAGCCCCCGGCUCAACCGGGGAGGGUCAUUGGAAACUGGUUGACUUGAGUGCAGAAGAGGAGAGUGGAAUUCCAUGUGUAGCGGUGAAAUGCGUAGAUAUAUGGAGGAACACCAGUGGCGAAGGCGACUCUCUGGUCUGUAACUGACGCUGAGGUUCGAAAGCGUGGGUAGCAAACAGG
Molecule: ribosomal RNA, 429 nt
Filed under: Bacteroidota bacterium
Lineage: Bacteria; Pseudomonadati; Bacteroidota
Description: Bacteroidetes bacterium partial 16S ribosomal RNA
Rfam family: Bacterial small subunit ribosomal RNA
Source: RNAcentral